Molecule: ribosomal RNA, 488 nt
Filed under: uncultured bacterium
Lineage: Bacteria
Description: bacterial SSU rRNA
Rfam family: Bacterial small subunit ribosomal RNA
Source: RNAcentral
GGACGAACGCUGGCGGCGUGCCUAACACAUGCAAGUCGAACGGAGAUAAGCGCUGGUGAUUUAGCUUGCUAGAGAUCCUUGCUUAUCUUAGUGGCGGACGGGUGAGUAACGCGUGAGCAACCUGCCUUUCAGAGGGGGAUAACGUCUUGAAAAGGACGCUAAUACCGCAUGACAUUACGUUUUCGCAUGGAGAUGUAAUCAAAGGAGCAAUCCGCUGAAAGAUGGGCUCGCGUCCGAUUAGGUAGUUGGCGGGGUAGAGGCCCACCAAGCCGACGAUCGGUAGCCGGACUGAGAGGUUGAACGGCCACAUUGGGACUGAGACACGGCCCAGACUCCUACGGGAGGCAGCAGUGAGGGAUAUUGGUCAAUGGGGGAAACCCUGAACCAGCAACGCCGCGUGAGGGAUGACGGCCUUCGGGUUGUAAACCUCUGUCCUCUGUGAAGAUAAUGACGGUAGCAGAGGAGGAAGCUCCGGCUAACUACGUGCC